UCCUGAGGACAGCCUACUCAAAAUGCUGA
Molecule: non-coding RNA, 29 nt
Filed under: Rattus norvegicus (Norway rat)
Lineage: Eukaryota; Metazoa; Chordata; Mammalia; Rodentia; Muridae
Source: RNAcentral